AAUAAUCUCAUUUUUCGUUUUCCUGUAUCCAACGUUUGACCAUUCGUUUUAUUUAAAAUUUUUUUGCGAUUAAUAAUUUUAUUAUUACUAGAUGAUAAAAUAUGAAUAGUAUUUUAUACAUGACUAAUUUUUUAGUUUUUGCAAAAAAAAUUUUAAAUAAGACGAAUGGUCAAACGUUGGACACGAAAAACAAAAAAUAAAAUUAUU
Oryza brachyantha (malo sina) is the source of this 207-nucleotide non-coding RNA. Lineage: Eukaryota; Viridiplantae; Streptophyta; Magnoliopsida; Poales; Poaceae. The record is from Rfam.